AAGUUUCCUGAGGCCUCCCAGCCAUGCUGAACUGUGGGUCAAUUAAACCUCUUUCCGUUAGAAAUUAUCCAGUCUUGGGUAUGUCUUUAUUAGCAGCGUGAGAAUGGACUAAUACAUCAAUUAUAAUGGAUUCAUUUUGAACAUGUUAAGAUUGACUUAUCUUUGAGAAGAUAGGUAGAGAGGUCCUGUGGGCACCUAGAGCUCACCUAGGACUGAAGACAGGUGUACAUGGCUUUAAUGUGAGUGCAGAAGCCAUGAAUGUGGAUAAGAUCUCCUUUGUGACGUACACAAUGAAAGAAGAAAAAGGGUGAGAACUGAACCUGUGGAACAUUCCCAUUUAUCAGCUGACAGAAGACUAAGGCCUGUGACAAAGGACCAAUGGAAAAAUAAAGGAGAGGAUAAAUGAUGAAUCAAAGGCACAAGGACAGGCUGGGCACAGUGGCUAGUGCCUGUAAUCUCAGCACUUUGGGAGGCCAAGCUUUUCUACUGUCCUGAAACAAGGUAGAGAAUCUGAGCAGCCAGUCAUCUGUCCUAAGUGCUGCCGCCGAAGACUGAAUGUCCUGGAAAGUUUGUUAUCACAUCUCCAUUAUGACAAAAGCAUUGUGCCGAACAGAUGAAAAAAUGCAUUGUCAAUGGAAUAUUUUAUGUUUGUUUUCCUUUAAGCAAUAUUGCCUUGUUAUAAAAGAUCAAUAAAUAUUUUUUCAUUUCAAUUCUGAUGAGUCUGUGAGCUGUUACCAUCAAGCACAGAGCAGCAUCCUACUUUGGGAUUGAGAAAGUGGGAAAUCUAAAGUGAAAGUCUACAGUGAUUAAACAAAACUGAAAACUGAGCCACUCCUCUUCCAUCUGGUACAGAAAUUGUGACCACAUGCCCUUCUCUCCACUAAGAGGAAAGACCAGACUCACUGGUUCACUGGUAUGUUUUCCUU
Non-coding RNA from Macaca mulatta (Rhesus monkey), 926 nucleotides. NCBI's taxonomy places the organism in Eukaryota, Metazoa, Chordata, Mammalia, Primates, Cercopithecidae. The record is from RefSeq and is a predicted model, not a curated record.